GGUUGACCUCGGAAUCAGGUA
RNAcentral lists this ribosomal RNA (21 nucleotides) under Xylaria badia. RNAcentral describes it as "partial 28S ribosomal RNA". Lineage: Eukaryota; Fungi; Ascomycota; Sordariomycetes; Xylariales; Xylariaceae. The record is from RNAcentral.